GACGAACGCUGGCGGCGUGCUUAACACAUGCAAGUCGAACGCUGAAGCUCAGCUUUUGUUGGGUGGAUGAGUGGCGAACGGGUGAGUAACACGUGAGUAACCUGCCUCCUUCUUUGGGAUAACGCCCGGAAACGGGUGCUAAUACUGGAUAUUCACUGGUCUUCGCAUGGGGGUUGGUGGAAAGGGUUUUUCUGGUGGGGGAUGGGCUCGCGGCCUAUCGGCUUGUUGGUGGGGUGAUGGCCUACCAAGGCUUUGACGGGUAGCCGGCCUGAGAGGGUGACCGGGAACAUUGGGACUGAGAUACGGCCCAGACUACUACGGGGGGCAGCAGUGGGGAAUAUGGCACAAUGGGCGCAAGCCUGAUGCAGCGACGCCGCGUGAGGGAUGGAGGUUUUCGGGUUGUGAACCUCUUUCGCUCAUGGUCAAGCCGAAACAAUGGUUGUGGUGAGGGUAGUGGGUAAAGAAGCGCCGGCUAACUACGUG
This 483-nucleotide ribosomal RNA is filed under the name uncultured bacterium. RNAcentral's name for it is "partial 16S ribosomal RNA". It matches the Rfam family "Bacterial small subunit ribosomal RNA", at positions 28 to 507 of the family's 1533-position model. The record is from RNAcentral.